UGUCCAACUUUACCAAGGGCAUAGUAUUUGCUGGAUCCAAAUGAAAAUUAUUUUCUCUGUUCUCACCCCCACUUAAAUUUUCCAUUUCCAGAUUCUCUAGAAGAAGAAAUGGGAGAAGAGAGAAUUAUUUAAACCAAAUGGAAAUGAGAAGGAAAUUGUAUAAGUAACUCACAUAGAAUUAAAUAAAUAGAGCAAGUUAAUAGUAAACAAGUAUAUUAGAAGUAGUCAGUAAAAAUUAGGUUCAAUUUGGCAAGGCAAUUUAAUGACAAUUCAAACAAGCAAAAUCAACAUGUCUGGACACUUGUCCAGGAUCGACUUUGAGCUGGAAAAAAGAGAAGAUCAAGAACAUAAAAGAAGGAUAUAAAAGGUUUAAGGAAGAUCAAGGAAUAGCACCUACAGAAGUAAAUAAAAAAGAAGUGGCAAGGAGGGUGUGAAAAGACUCAAGAAUGCCUUCUCACUAUUCAAGAUUGUUGGGGGAAUCAACUAUUCCUGAAGGAAAAAAUAAAUGGGAUCUCACAUGAGAAAGGAAAGACUUGAAUCUUGUCAAGAAAUUAUAGAACAGAAGAGCAGAAGCAGCAAAGGCAAUAUUUGACUGAUGAGGGUGGUGUCCAUGUAUGUAGAGAAACAGAAAAACAUAAAAUAAAGACCUGGCCACAAACUAAAACAA
Long non-coding RNA from Monodelphis domestica (gray short-tailed opossum), 667 nucleotides. RefSeq lists it as uncharacterized. The record is from RefSeq and is a predicted model, not a curated record. Lineage: Eukaryota; Metazoa; Chordata; Mammalia; Didelphimorphia; Didelphidae.